AGCAUACAAGGCAUACGGCUCAGUAACGCGUAGUCAACCUAACCUAUGGACGGGAAUAACCUCGGGAAACUGAGAAUAAUGCCCGAUAGAACAUUAUGCCUGGAAUGGUUUAUGUUCCAAAUGAUUUAUCGCCGUAGGAUGGGACUGCGGCCUAUCAGUUUGUUGGUGAGGUAAUGGCCCACCAAGACUAUUACAGGUACGGGCUCUGAGAGGAGUAGCCCGGAGAUGGGUACUGAGACACGGACCCAGGCCCUAUGGGGCGCAGCAGGCGAGAAAACUUUGCAAUGUGCGAAAGCACGACAAGGUUAAUCUGAGUGGUUUCUGCUAAAGAAACCUUUUGUCAGUCCUAGAAACACUGAUGAAUAAGGGGUGGGCAAGUUCUGGUGUCAGCCGCCGCGGUAAAACCAGCACCUCAAGUGGUCAGGAUGAUUAUUGGGCCUAAAGCAUCCGUAGCCGGCUCUGUAAGUUUUCGGUUAAAUCUGUACGCUCAACGUACAGGCUGCCGGGAAUACUGCAGAGCUAGGGAGUGGGAGAGGUAGACGGUACUCGGUAGGAAGGGGUAAAAUCCUUUGAUCUAUUGAUGACCACCUGUGGCGAAGGCGGUCUACCAGAACACGUCCGACGGUGAGGGAUGAAAGCUGGGGGAGCAAACCGGAUUAGAUACCCGGGUAGUCCCAGCUGUAAACUAUGCAAACUCAGUGAUGCAUUGGCUUGUGGCCAAUGCAGUGCUGCAGGGAAGCCGUUAAGUUUGCCGCCUGGGAAGUACGUACGCAAGUAUGAAACUUAAAGGAAUUGGCGGGGGAGCACCACAAGGGGUGAAGCCUGCGGUUCAAUUGGAGUCAACGCCGGA
This 850-nucleotide ribosomal RNA is filed under the name uncultured crenarchaeote. RNAcentral describes it as "bacterial SSU rRNA". It matches the Rfam family "Archaeal small subunit ribosomal RNA", at positions 71 to 922 of the family's 1478-position model. Lineage: Archaea; Thermoproteati; Thermoproteota. The record is from RNAcentral.